AGAGUUUGAUUAUGGCUCAGGAUGAACGCUAGCUACAGGCUUAACACAUGCAAGUCGAGGGGCAGCAUGAAAUUUGCUUGCAAACUUGAUGGCGACCGGCGCACGGGUGAGUAACGCGUAUCCAACCUUCCCUAUAGUAGAGGAUAGCCCGGCGAAAGUCGGAUUAAUACUCUAUGUUGUAUUUUUGCGGGCAUCUAACUAAUACCAAAGGUUUACCGCUAUAGGGUGGGGGAUGCGUCUGAUUAGGUAGUCGGCGGGGUAACGGCCCACCGAGCCGUCGAUCAGUAGGGGUUCUGAGAGGAAGGUCCCCCACAUUGGAACUGAGACACGGUCCAAACUCCUACGGGAGGCAGCAGUGAGGAAUAUUGGUCAAUGGGCGAGAGCCUGAACCAGCCAAGUAGCGUGCCAGGACGACGGCCCUAUGGGUUGUAAACUGCUUUUAUACAGGGAUAAAGUGCAUCACGUGUGGUGUUUUGUAGGUACUGUAUGAAUAAGGACCGGCUAAUUCCGUGCCAGCCGCAGC
This 523-nucleotide ribosomal RNA is filed under the name uncultured bacterium. Its description in RNAcentral is "bacterial SSU rRNA". It matches the Rfam family "Bacterial small subunit ribosomal RNA", at positions 8 to 518 of the family's 1533-position model. The record is from RNAcentral.